Molecule: non-coding RNA, 18524 nt
Organism: Oryctolagus cuniculus (rabbit)
Lineage: Eukaryota; Metazoa; Chordata; Mammalia; Lagomorpha; Leporidae
Source: RefSeq, a predicted model, not a curated record
GGGACUGUGUUCAUUAAUUAUCCUUUUCAAAGUCAGGACUAAACAAACAAAUCACUUCCUACAAGGAAAAAAAAUUUUUUUAAGCCACAUCUCACAGAUGACGGCUUCUGGAAGGGCCUGCACGCUGCGCAGUGGCUGUAUUCCAGUUUAUUUACAAAGAAUGCACAGAUCAAUGUCCAGUGACCUUGGGGCAUUGCUGAGGACAGGAUGUUAACAAAGUAGAUUUUUAACAGACUUAAUUGCAGGCAGUAUCUCAGAAAAACGAUUUCUCUCCGUGGCUUUAAGGAAGAGAGCUGCCUACCUGAUCUGAAAUUACGAAGAUAUCGCAGUUCGUGGCCCAGCUGCAGAGGGGAAAGUGUCAAGGUCAACACCCCGCGUGUGACUCGGUGAGCGGAAGCAUUUUCUCUCUCCCUCUGAACUUACCUAGCUACGUCCGCUGGAUUGCGAAUGAUCACUCAGCCCCGAUGGCGUUUCAGGACCUCUUGGAUCAAGUGGGCAGCUGGGGAAGAUUCCAGAUCCUGCAGAUGAUUUUCCUCAUGAUCUGCAAUGUGGCAGUGUAUCCUCACAUCCUAUUGGAGAACUUCACUGCUGCUGUCCCUGACCAUCGCUGCUGGGUCCCCCUCCUGGACAACCACACCACCUCUGACAAUGACACUGGACUCCUCAACAAAGAUGCCCUUCUAAGAGUCUUCAUCCCGCUGGACGCGAACCUGAGGCCAGAGAAGUGCCGUCGCUUCACCCGUCCCCAGUGGCAGCUCCUUUACCUGAACGGGACCUCCCCGAGCACGAAUGAGCCGGACACAGAGCCCUGUGUGGACGGCUGGGUGUACGACCGCAGCUCCUUCGUCUCCACCACCGUGAUGCAGUGGGACCUGGUUUGUGACUCUCAGUCACUGAAUUCAGUGUCUAAAUUCCUAUUCAUGGCCGGAAUGGUAGUGGGGAGCAUCGUAUUUGGCCAUUUAACAGACAGGUAUGGGAGGAGGUUAAUACUCAUAUGGUGCUUAUUACAAAUCGCCAUCGCUGACACCUGCGCGGCCUUUGCUCCCACCUUCUUUGUGUACUGCAUUCUACGCUUCUUGUCUGGAAUGUCUACUGCAGCGAUCCUAGCAAAUAAUUCCAUGCUUAUCAUAGAAUGGACAGUGCCCCAGUUCCAAGCUACGGGAAUGACAUUGGCAGUGUCUGCUGCUAGUAUUGGACAGAUACUAUUGGGAGGUCUGGCUUUUGCUGUUCGAAACUGGUGCACCCUCCAGCUAGUGAUGUCUGUGCCAAUAUUUUUAUUAUUUAUAAUUUCAAGAUGGGUACUGGAGUCUGCUCGGUGGCUGAUUAUCAACAACAAACCCCAGGAGGGCUUAAAGGAACUUAGAAAAGCUGCCAGUAGGAAUGGAGUGAAGAAUUCCGAGGACAUCCUAACCAUGGAGGUUCUGAAUUCUGCUAUGCAGGAGGAGCUGGAGACGGCACAGAAAAAGCCUUCUGCACGUGACUUGUUCCGUUCACCCAACCUGCGGAAACGGAUCUGGUUAAUGUCCUUUGUGAGAUUUGCAACGUUCAUGCACCUUUUUGGCCUGAGCCUCCACCUCCAGCACUUGGGGAGCAAUGUUUUCUUGUUCCAGGUUCUCUUUGGUGCAGUCACCCUUCCUGCCAAUUAUGUCGCACUUUUGGCACUGAAUCACAUGGGCCGUCGAAUCAGUCAAUUGCUUCUCAUGUUCCUGGUGGGACUCUGCAUUCUGGCCCUCAUAUUUGUACCUCAAGAAACACAGACCGUGCGUGUGGUUGUGGCAACAUUGGGAGGAGGACUUUCUUUCGCCUCUCUUACCAGUUCUCUUGCCCAUGGAAAUGAGCUAAUCCCCACCAUAAUCAGGGCAACAGUUGCCGGAAUCGCUGGAAUUGCAGGCAGUCUUGGGUCUUCCCUGGCUCCCCUCUUGAUGAUCCUCACCGUGUACUAUGCACCCUCACCCUGGAUCAUCUACGGAGGCUUCUCCAUCCUCGCUGGCCUUGUUGUCCUCCUCCUCCCUGAGACCAGGAACCAGCCUCUGCCUGACUCCAUCCAGGAUGUGGAAGAUGAGAAAAACGUCUCAAGAAAAACAAAGCAAGAAGAAGCCUUCAUCAAAGUGACAAAGCUUUAAAGACGCCAAGGAGGGACCUGUGCUAUGUGUAGUGGGCUAAGCUUCUGCCUGCGGCGCCGGCACCCCACAUGGGCAUGAGUUCAUGUCCUGGUUGCUCUCCUGACUCAGCUCUCUACUGACAGCCUGGGAACGCAGUGGACGGUGGCCCAAAUGCUUGAGCCCCUGUCCCCAUGUGGGAGACCCUGAAGAAGCUCUUGGCUCCUUGCUCCUGGCUUCGGAUCGGCCCAGCUCCAGCUGUUAUGGCCAUUUGGAGAGUGAACCAGAGGACUGAAGACCUCUCUUUCUGUCUUUCCCUCUCUCUGUCUGCAACUCCACCUCUCAAAUAAAUAAAUAAAAUAUUUUUAAAAUUAAAAAAAAAUACUCCAAAGGAACUGACUGUUAAUUACAGCAAGAUAAAAAAAAUCAAGAUAUUUUCUAAAUGCUAACAAAAUUUGGAAAAUAAAUGUCAUGAAAAACGGAUGCCAUUUAUAAUUAUGCUAAUUAAUAAACAUAAAACACAUGCAAGUAAUUGUAGUAAGAAGUUUAAAGAUAAUUGUAAUACUUUAAAAGGAAUCAUGGUGCAUAGCGUGCUUAGGAUAAGAAAAUUAAAUAGUUUUUAAAAAUUAAUUCUUCCCCCAAUUAGCUAAUAAAGUCAUUGGUGGAGUAAUUACAAUGAAAAGUCCAUAAGUUUACAAGAACUUGAAGGAUAGCUCUAAAUUUAUAUGGAAACUGAGUGUAAGCAAGAUGAUUUGGAGAAAAGAGGUUCAUGGAUGAAGGCUGGACUGGUUGCUAUAGGGAGAGCAUCUGUAGGACUUUAUUUUGAGCCGUGAUAGUCAAAAUGAUAAUAAACAGAUACAGUGGGGAGUGGGAAAUCAGAAGAAACCCAGUAACAGACUUAGGAUUAUGUAUCUAUCUGCAUAAGUAGCCUCAAAUUUUUUUAAAGUAAGAAAUUUCCCAGGGCCAGUGCCGUGUUGUAGGGGUAAAGCCGCUGCCUGCAGUGCCGGCAUCCCAUAUGGGCGCCAGUUCAAAUCCUGACUGCUCCACUUCCCAUGCAGCUCUCUGCUAUGGCCUGGGACAGCAGUGGAAGAUGGCCCAAGUCCUUGGGCCCCUGCACCCAUGUAGGAGACCCAGAGGGAGCGCCUAGCUCCUGGCUUCGAAUCAGCACAGCUCUGGCUGUUGCAGCCAUCUGGGGAGUGAACCAGCGGAUGGACGAUCUCUCUCCCUCUCUCUCUCUGCCUCUUCUCUUUCUCUGUGUAACUCUGACGUUAAGGUAAAUAAAUAAAUCUUUUAAAAAAGAAAUUUCCCAAUAACUUUAUUUAUAACUUUUGUUUUAAAAAGUAUGAACCCUUGGCCGGCACCACGGCUCAAUAGGCUAAUCCUCCACCUGCGGCACCAGCACACUGGGUUCUAGUCCCGGUCAGGGCGCUGGAUUCUGUCCCAGUUGCUCCUCUUCCAGGCCAGCUCUCUGCUGUGACCCAGGAGUGCAGUGGAGGGUGGCCCAAGUGCUUGGGCCCUGCACCUGCAUGGGAGACCAGGAGAAGCACCUGGCUCCUGCCUUUGGAUCAGCGCAGUGCGCCGGCCGCAACACGCUGCUGGAGCGGUCAUUGAGGGGGUGAACCAAUGAAAAAGGAAGACCUUUCUCUCUGUCUCUCUCUCUCUCACUGUCCACUCUGCCUGUCAAAAAAAAAAAAAAGUAUGAACCCAUACUACCCUCUUGUCUUUAUUGUCACAAUGUCAGAUUUGCAUAUUUUAACUUUUUUCUAUAUGAGAUACAAACAUGAAGAUUUCGCUUACUAUAACACAUUCUGUUAAAAACUUUUUAUAUUAGUUAAUGAAUGUUUAACCUAUUUGAAAGAUAGAGAGGGAGAGACAGAGAGCUUGCAUAUGUUGGUUCACUCUCCAAAUGUCCAUAACAGUCAGGUCUGUAGCAGACUGAAGCCAGGAGCCCAGAAACCAAACUCUAGCUCAUAUGUGGAUGGAAGGGACCAACCAUUUGAGCCACAACCUCCUGCUUCCCACAGUGCACUUUAGUAAGAAGCUAGGAUUGGGGGCCGGCGCCAUGGCUCACCUGGUUAAUCCUCUGCCUGCGGCGCCAGCAUCUCAUAUGGGCACCAGGUUCUAGUCCCGGUCGCUCCUCUUCCAGUCCAGCUCUCUACUGUGGCCCAGGAGGGCAGUGGAGGAUGGCCCAAGUGCUUGGGUCCUGCACCCGCAUGGGAGACCAGGAGGAAGCACUUGGCUCCUGGCUUUGGAUCAGUGCAACACCGGCCAUAGCGGCGGCCAUGUGGGGAGUGAACCAACUGAAGGAAGACCUUUCUCUCUGUCUCUCUCUCUCACUGUCUAUGACUCUACCUUUCAAAUAAAAAAAAAUAAAAAAUAAAAAAAAAUAAAAAAAAAAACUAGGAUUGGAUGCAGAGCAGGGACUCAAACCCAGGCAUUCCUAUAGGAAAUGUGGGCAUCUUAAGCAAUGUCUCAGCCACUGUGCCAAAUAACCACCCCAACAGGCCCAUUCUUUACUUGAUUAUAAUUGGGCCAGAGUUUCAUUUUUCUGGUUCCUGGAUAUAGUUGUAUAUAAGUUUAGAACAGAUGAGAGAGAGAAUGAGAAUAAAGUGAGGACUAAUGAACAAGAUAUUGUUUAUUUUGUUCACACACAAAUGCUAAAUAAAUUCUGAUUAGCAUUAUGGUGGAGUAAUGAGGAUGGUAUUAGUAGUUGACUGAUUUUGUUAAAUGGGCAUUCCAAAUAUAUCUAUAGUGCUCUUAAAUUAAAAAGACUAAUUACUUAUUUUCUCCUUUAAGACUGUUGUUUGGACUUCAGCUUGAUCCCUGAGGCUAUGGACUGAGCCAUUUUAUGAUCUCAGUACUCCUGGUAACAGCAGCUAAGCCAGAAAGCGAAUGAAAACCUCAUGUAGCCAGACUUUCACCUCCAACCUGAACCUCAGCACCAAACUGAGUACUUCCAAACUAGUUCAGAUUUUUACCUUAGGAAUAAAAGAAGCAUUUACUGUCUCAUAGUUUUUGUAGGUCUGAAAACUGGGCACGCUUAGCUGAGAGCUUCUUGCUCAAGGUCUUUCCUGAGGUCACAGGAGAGUUGUCACCUGGAGCGACUACAGUCCCACCUGAAGGCUCACCUGAGGAAGGAUAAUCCCUUUCUAAUGUCGGGCAUGGGGAGCGUGGCAAGACCAGGUCUCUAUCCAGGUGAGUGUCUCCUCGGGGCUGCCUCAGAACGUGUUGUCUUUUACAGGUAAUCACAGAAAUGAAAUCCCAUAUGGAGUGUUUUUCAUCCUCUUCAAGAGUUUUUUUUUAUAAAACUAAACGCAAAAAAGUUUUCCCUGUUAACGUUUCCUUCAAGAACUUUAGAUCUUUCACAUAUGUACCUGAUUCUGUUUGAUUAAGUUUUGCAUACAGUGUCAGAGUCACCCAGUUGUUCUAACACCAUUUAUUGAUAGAACAAUAGCUCUUCCUUGAAUGCCUCUAUCAAUCUCUUUUUUUCAAGAAUGUCAAUUGGUCAUGUGGGUAUUAAUCUCUUUCAGGAUGAUCUAUUUUGUUCAAUCAGUCUACACACGUCUUCUAAUGCCCAUACCACUCACUCGUAAUUCCUGUACCUUUAUCUGUCUGAGGUGGUAAGUCCACCAUAUUUGUUUUCCUUUUUCAAAAUUGCUUGAUCAGUUCUACUUAUACCAAGUAAAAUUUAUUUUCAGCUUGUCAUUUUCAAUAAAACAUACCAUGUUUGUGAUUGAGGUUGCAUUGAAACUCUAAGUCAAUUGAGAGAAGCUUCCCGCCGUAAUGAUAUUGAAUUGUGUGAUUCAUAAACCUGCUAUAAUUGCUUCACGUUAUUUGUUUUAUCUGCCGUAGAAAUUUUUUCAUCUUAUUUGUUUAUAAAAGACAAUCCAAUCAUAUCUUCAUUAUGUUUAUUCCUGAGUAUUUUAGUUUUCUGAUGCCACUGAGAAUGCAGUAGUUCCUUUUUAUGUCUAAUGAUUACUUACUAGCACAUAGAAGUAGUCUACUUUUUAUAUUGGCCUUAUGCCAGGCAACAUUACCAACUUGUUUUUCUGUCUACAAAUAUUAAUAUAGAUUCCUUAGGCUUUUCUUCCAUGUGAUUUUGACAAUUGCAGGUGAGAAGCCUUUGAAUAACUGCUUUCCAAGCUAUUCACCUAUUGUUUAUUUUUCCUGCAGAGAUAGGAAAUCAAAAGUGGGGCACUUUAUGUUUAUUCUGUGGAAAGAAUAGAAAGCAAUAAUUUAGUCUGUUUGGUAUGAUUUUUUAUUCCAAAUUUUAAUAUGAACAAUCCUACUUAUAAUUAAGGCAGAGUAGCAAGUGACAUGAUCACUGUGUUUUGUUUCCUGAUAAUCCACUCUGGUUCAGAUAAUACCAGGAACUCACAGCGAUUUUCAGUUCUCAGAAAUGGGAGGAUCCAGACAGAGACCGAUGAUCAAUCUGGAUGUCAGUGAUGUCAUCCUUAGAAAUGAGCCUUUGAGGAGGCAGACAGUACAUUCUGAGUUUCUGAGGAGACAGAGAUUGUGCCACAACCACAGGCCUUCUUCCGCAAAGCCCCACCAAGCACGUAAAUCAUCAAAAAACAGUGAGUUAAAAUUACCCAAGUAACACACGAAAAGAAUAGGAAUGACUGUUCUUUGUAGGAAACCAUAACACGUUUUACAAGAAGGAGAAACGAUGUGGAGCUACAGAGGAAAAACCAUCAACGACGCAGUAAAGACGAUGAGCACUGAUGCGCUCAAGAGCUGAGCUAGGGUCCUUAAACACCACUUGCUUACCAUGUGCUGCUCCCAACAAUGCUAUGGUACAGGUGAUGUUUGUUCCCCAUUUUAUAGGAAAGAUGCAGUGUUUAUAAGCAGACAGGGCCAGUGAGGUAUAAGCCAUGUGGACAGUGUGAAAUCCAAAGGUGCUUAGGCAGUGGAAGAUAAGGCAGUAGGCAAGGGUAGAUAAAGAAGUCGAGACGGAAUGUGCUUCUUGAACACCCACCUGUACAACUAAUUAUGGGAGAAAAAAACUGUACAAGCAGUUCCAAUGACACGAACAGGGUGCAAGAAUCCCCUCUCUCAGUCCCAGGAGAGUAGAUGGAGCAGAUAUUUGCUUUCUCAUCAUGACUAAUUUCCUGCCAGGUUCUGGCGCCCCAUUCUCUCUAGAUUCUAGGAAUGUUGGCUCCAGUUCUGAUCCGGUGGUCAGCUUUCUUCACGCUCCAUCUAACAUCACUGGCUGUUUCUGCAGCUAGGUUGAGGGUUCAGUGACCGGUGUUUUGUUUGCAUUUAUUGGCAGAGCCCGAACUUACCUUUGUUCCCAUUGAUAGCCUCUACCAACACGAGGGAUAAAGCCUGGUUUCCCGCAGAGACUGAUCAGCAGUGAGAGCGUCUGGGCCCUGAACUACACCAAGAAGCUCCUUCAAGUUCAAGUCUGGCCUGGAAAACUGAGGCCCCGAGCCGGCACUCUGGUAAGGUGCCUAAUUCUUCAGUCCCACAAGCCUUCCCCAGGAACAAUGCAUGCAUGCAUGGUUUCAACACUUGGACAAGAAGGAAACCCGAGCAGAGGCACAAGGGAUCUGUCGCAGAAACAAGUCCUAUCCCAGAAGCAUCAAACACCAGAAUGCACAAAAAACGUCUCCCACGUUGAAACAAACACCUCGGCUCAUCCCACCUUCUUGGGUGCUGCCCCUCUUCCCGCCACCCUUCUGGCGAAUGACAUACCUCACCUCUCAGUUCUCUCUUACAGAAUCAUACAACGUGGUUUUUUUGAGACAGACUCUCUUAGCAUAAUGCUUUUGAAUUUCAUCCAUAUUAUAUCAUUCCCUUUUUAUUUCCAAAUGCCAUUCCAGUGUUUGCAUAAACCACAUUUUGUUUAUCCAUUCAUCUGUUGAUGGACAGUUAAAUUAAGUCUGUCUUUUGGCUGCUAUGAAUGUUUGUAUGUGGUUUUCCUGUGAAGUCAACCUGUCAGUUCUCUUGGACAUAAACCUACAAGUAGAGUGGCCAGACCGUACGAUAACUGUGUGUGGAACUUUUUAGGGAAUUGUCGAACAGUUUGUCCUGGUAGCUGUUGCAUUGCAAUCCCACCCGGAUCAUAUGUGGCAGAAUUGGGCUUCUGUCCUCCAAACACGCGUUAUCUGUGUCUGGAUUGUAGUCACGCUAGGAUGGGGGAGGUGUUACCAGUUGUGUUUGGAUUUGCAUUUCUCUAACAACUAAUGAUAUGGAGCAUUUGGUUCAUGUGCACCAUGCCCAUUUGUAUGUCAUCUUUGAAGCAAAGUCCAUUCAAAUCCUUUCACCAUUGUUUACAUGCUGAUACUUGUCUUUUAAUUGUUGAGUUAUGAGGACGCUUUAUAGGUCCUGGGCAUAAGACCCUUAAGGAAGAUAUGAUCUCAAAAUAUUUUCUCCCAUUCUCUAGGUUGCCAUUUCACUAUUUUAAUUAACUAUUUUAAGCACAGCAGUUUAAAAUUUGAAGAAAUUAAUCUUUUCUGAAUAUGGGUUUUGUUUUUUGUUUUGUUGUUGGUUUUUUUUUUUUUUUUUUUUUGACAGGCAGAGUGGACAGUGAGAGAGAGAGACAGAGAGAAAGGUCUUCCUUUACCAUUGGUUCACCCUCCAAUGGCCGCUGCGGCCAGCACACCACGCUGAUCUGAAGCCAGGAGCCAGGUGCUUCUCUUGGUCUCCCAUGCAGGUACAAGGUCCAAGCACUUGGGCCAUCCUCCACUGCACUCCCUGGCCACAGCAGAGAGCUGGACAGAAGAGGAGCGACCAGGACAGAAUCCGGAGCCCCGACCGGGACUAGAACCUGGUGUGCCAGUGCUGCAGGCGGAGGAUUAGCCUAUUGAGCUGCGGCGCCAGCCUCCAAAAACUCGUAUGAUCCUACAGCCUCUAACAGUAACUGCCUUAAAUUUCCAAUCCACUACCAAGGGCUGUCCCUCUCCAGUUUCUAAGAAUCUGUCCCACACCAUGAGGCAUUCAAAUUCACCAAAAUUGCUCUUUUCAAGGUCACCAAUGGCUUACACAUCAUCAGGUCGGGUUUUUUAUUUGACCUGUUUCUUCUCCUAGAAGCACUACCUGCAAUUCCCCCACUCUUGGUCCCAGGCUAUUCUCUCUCCUUCUUCCACACAGGUUCAUCUUCCUGAUGCUUUUUUGACACUUUCUCAAAUGCUGUGAAGUCUCCAAGGCUCAAUACUCAAACCUCCUCUUUUUUCUAUCUACUCUUACCUCCUAGGAGAUCUUAUCCAAUUCCACAAACUUUAAAUAUAAUGUCUUUCAUAAGAAAUUAUAGAGGCUGGCAUUGUGGCACAGCAAGUUAAGCCACCACCUAGGAUGCCAGCAUCCCACAAGACUGGUUCGAGUCCCAGCAGUUCCACUUCUGAUCCAGCUCCCUGUUAAUGCACCUGGAAAAGCAGCUGAGGAUGACUCAAGAACUUAGGUUCCCAACACCCACAUGGGAGACCCGGACAAUGGAAUUCCUGCUUCCUUUGUCCUGGCCCAGCCCUUCCCAACCACUGCAGACAUCUGGGGAGUGAACCAGCCGAUGGAAGAUUCUCUCUCUCUCUCUCUCUCUCUCUCCCAUCCCUCCCUUCCUCCCUCCCUCUCUGUGACUCUACCUUCCAAAUAAAUCUUUUGUAAAAAAUAAAGCAUUAUAUAUAGCAAUUUCCAGACUAAAGUUUUCAAAUCUAGAGUUUAAUAUUCAACUGCUCAAAAUGUCCAUUCAUCUGGAGACAGCUUCUCAUGUUGUUCUCUGACAACCUCUUCAGAGUAUUCUUAUCUCUGCAGAAUCCCCAUCUCACGAGGGUGGCCUGGACUUGUGAAUUGGCUUCUAAGUUUCUACCUCUACCUCUUAUACCAUUCACUGUGGGAGAAGCCAGCUGCUGCGUCAUCAAGCAGUCCUCUGAGAGAUGUCUCUGGCCAAAGACCAAAGCCAGUCAAAAUAUCACGUGUGUGAUGACUGAAAUGACCACGAUCUCACAGAUCAGCAUUCAGAUGACUCUGCAGAUCUGGUGGCCACCUGACUGAAACCUGAGGAGGACCUUGAGCCAUAAGCAACCGGUUAAGUCAUGGACUGUUUCCCGAAUGAUGGAAGCAGUGUAAUGAAUAUUUAUUGUUUCUAGCUGCUGUGUCAGAGUAGCAAUGUAGUCAAUUAGUAAUGGAUAGCUAACACAGAUUUUAAAACCUGGACUUUGAGUGCUUUCGUAACGAAAGCCUAAAAUGUGUGAGUGAUUUGGCAACCAUGUAUGGGGCAUGAGAACAUAAUGAAAUACUGAAAUGCCUUGGACACACUCUCAGUGGCGUUUUGAUUUUGUGGAGAUUGCCAGGGAUGACCUCAAGGAGACUGAGAUAUUGUAUUUGCAAACAGGAAGUUGUGCAAGGCAUAAUUUUGACAGCACUGUUUCUUGUGGUUAUGUAGAAAUUAGAAAAUGUGACCAAAGGGGCUGGCGCCAUGGCUCACUUGAUUAAUCCUCCACCUGUGGUGCUGGCAUCCCAUAUGGGCACUGGGUUCUAGUCCCAGUUGCUCCUCUUCCAGUCCAGCUAUCUGCUGUGGCCCAGGAGUGCAGUGGAGGAUGGCCCAGGUGCUUGGGCACCUGCACCCGCAUAGGAGACCAGGAAGAAGCACCUGGCUUCUGGCUUCGGAUCGGCGCAGCACAGCGCCAGCCACAGCGGCCAUUUGGGGAGUGAACCAAUGGAAGGAAGACCUUUCUCUCUGUCUCUCUCUGCCUGUCAAAAAAAAAGAAAAUGUGACUAAAAAACAUGGUGUUGUGGCCAAAGAUGUUUCUAAGAAAUAUGAAGUGGCCACAUUGUGGUGCAGUGAAUUAAGUUGCUGCUUACAACACUAGCAUCCCAUAUGGGAGCACCUGUUCGAGUCCUGGCUGCUCCACUUCUGAUCCGGCUCCCUGCUAAUGCACCUGGGAAAGCAGUGGAAGAUGGCUCAAGUGCUUGGGUCCCUGCAUCCAUGUGGGAGACCCAGAAGUAGCUACUGGUUUCUGGCUUUGAUCUGGCCCAACCCUGGCCAUUGUGGCCAUUUGGGGAGUGAACCAGUAGAUGGAAGAGUCUCUCUCUCUUUCUUUCUCUCUCUCUCUCUCUCUCGCACUCUCACACUCUUGCGUUCUCAUGCUCUGCCUUUCAAAUAAAUAAAAUAAAAUUUUUUUAAAAAUUGUUAUCCACGCAGAAACAUCAUUACUUUCUACUGAGAAGAUAGCUAAGAGUCUAGAAUGAGGAAAUGCCUAGAAAUCUAGAAUCAGGAAGCAAGAUGAGAGGUUUUUCAGAUAAAAACACAUGCUAACUCUCAUGCAGAAAAUAUGAUUUGGAGGAAAAACACCUCCAACCAAACAUUUGACAACUAAAAACAGAGGAGAUGAGAAAUAAAAGCAUGAAAACUAAAAUGAGAGUAGCCAAUCGUCAAUCUAAGGAAAGAAAUUUUUUAAGAAACAAACAAUUUUAUAAUAAAAAUCUGAACUGCACGUUUCCAUGGAAGAAUAUACUCAAAUGAAACAUAAUACGGGACAUCUGUAAAGAGCAGUGAAACAUCGAAGGGAAUGAAAACCGGACAAAGAAAGAAGUUCAAGCAAGCCAAGGGAAAGUGGCUGAAAUGGAAGAGCAUCAAAUGGGAUCCAAUUUAUAUAUACUGGGUCAGGAAUAAUUUUUAUAAACUUACCAGAGGCAGGCAUUUGGCACAGCAGUUAAGACACCACUUGGGGGGCUGACACUGUGGUAUAGUAGGUUUAACCCAUAUGGGUGCCAGUUCUAGUCCCAGCUGCUCCACUUCCGAGCCAGCUCCCUGCUAAUGCACCUGGAAAAGCAGUGGAAGAUGGCCCCAAGUGCUUGGGCCCCUGCCCCCACAUAGGAGACACAAAAGAAGCUCCUGGUUCCUGGCUUUGGUCUAGCCCAGCCCUAGCUGUUGUGGCUAUUUGAGGAGUGAACCAGCAGAUGGAAGAACUCUCUCUCUCUGUCUCUCCCUCUCUCUGUCUGUAGCUCAGCCUCUCAAAUAAUAAAAUAAAAAUAAAUUUUUAAAAAAAGGCACCACUUGGGAGGCCUAGAUCCCAUUUUGGAAUGCCUGGGUUCAAGUCUGGCUCUGCUAAUAAUUUCAUUCUCCUGCUAAUAUGCACUACAGGAAGCAGCAGAUGAUGGCAUAAGGAUUUGGGUCCCAGUCACCCACAACAGAGAGCUUUUUGAGUUCCCAAAUCCUGGCUUUGGCUUGGCUCACCGUGGCUGUAGGGGCAUUUGGGAUGGGAACCAGAGGAUGGGAGAUUGAUCUCUUCUCCUCCUCUUUUAAAUAAACUGUAAUUAUUAGAAAUAAGUUUAAAAUUAAACUCAGAUAAACUUUCUAGCAGCAUCCCUGAGUCAUGAGCCUACAUGUGAAAGGACCCCUUGAGUAUCAGGGUAAAGCAAUUUGGAAUGGUUGAUUCAUGACUGUAUUAGUGAUCGGCUCCAGAAUAAAGUUCCCGCAACUAACUAGCUUACAACAGCACAUUUAUUAUCACAGAGUUUGUGAAUGUCAGAAAUCUUUGCAUGGCUUGGUUGGUCCUCUGGCUCAGUACUCAAGAAGUUGGCCAGGGCAGCCUGUUGGCUGUUCUUAUGCCGUAACAAAUUACUAUCCUCUUAGCAGACUGGAACAGCAUACAUUAAUUACGUCACACCUUCUGCGGGCCAGGAAUCUAGCAUGGCUGAGUUCUGUACUUCUAGGUCUCUCCUGAGGCUGCAAGCAAAGUGCUGGUCUGGGCUGGCAUCUCCUCUGGAAUCCUGACUAGGGGAAGGCUGUUUUAUUGAAGGCCUUGACAUCCCUGCUGGCUGAGGCCACUCUCAGUCAUUGCUUUAGUGCUUUAGUUCAUCAAAGUCUGCCGGAAAGAGAUUCUCCUACCAAAAUUGAAGUCCAAUCUUAUCAGGAAAGACAAAUCCAUUACAUUGGCCCGUCGUCUGUCCAUUAAAAAGAAAUCAUAUAUCCUGUUGGCACUCAGAUCCUCAAGGAUUUGUAACCUCCCACAUGCAAAAUGCACUCUCCUCCUCCCAAGCUCUCCAGUCCCAUCUUCCCAUCAUGGCGUCCUGAGAGCCCGAAUCUCACCAUCUAAAUCAGGAUGUGGACGAGGCUGCUCUGCUAAUCCCUAACAUACUCCUGGAGUACAGCUCCUCCAGUCUAUAAACCUGUGAACCUACAGAGGGACACAUUUGCAUUUCAAAUACCCAACACACAUUGGUGACACAGAAUACAACAACCGAUACAGAAAUUCCUGACCCCGAAGGGAAAAAUGUGAGAAGCACCACAGACUCAGGGGACGCCAUCAGUUCUGAAAACCAAGCUGCAAACGUCGGAAGCUCAUUAAGUCCAACUUCUUCGAGGCUUUUUGCUCUGCCCUCUGGGAUCUUGUUUCUAGCCUUGGCCAAUCUCCCUUAGUCAUGAAAUUUAGCCAGUGUUUGGCAGCUGAGGGAAUUUCCUCUUCCGAAUUCCUGCCCCUAGGAAUUAGGGCAUCAGCCUUUAUCACUGUACCGUCUGCAUCACUUUCAGUCUGAGUUUGAAGCGGUUUUGAGAUUUUGAAUUCUACCAAAUUUUGUGGGCCUGCCGUGAGUUACCUUGUGUUGCAUUCCAUUUGGGAAAAAAAAAAAAAAAACCCACACUCAUGAAACGCUUCAAGAUAAUUAUGGUGUGACUAAGACAGCCGGAUGCAAUGCCCUGAUCUUCUUAGAGGUUUUAUUGUGUAGGAGCAUCUGUGGGAUACAAUACUAAUCUUUUUAAAAUUUCCUUUGGGCCACUGAAUAAUAUUUUGAGGUGCCACCGUUGAGCUUCCUGUAAUGGGAACUGCUACUUGACAAUCCCACUUUCCGCUUUAUCUUUACAGCACAUGACCGAGGCAAUGCCCUCCAUCAUUAAUCGGCAGCCAUUUUUUAAUUUUUCCAUCUUUUAUCAUUUGGAGAGGCUUCGAACUGUCCAAGACACUGAACUUGCGCUUUAUCAGUCUUUUUCAUUUUACCACGAGAGGCGAGAAGAAAGCAAGUGACACCCUCAACACAGUGCUUGGGAAUCUCCCUCGGUGAAUCACCAAGUUCAUUAUGUACAUUCGCUGCUUUUCACGUCACCACAGAAAUCACUGUUGCUAAGUGUUCUGUGACUGGGUGACAAGGAUCCCCUACCCUCCAACUUUCUAUUUCAUUUUCUGAUUUCCUCGUGAGCCCUCAUGGACAGAAUCCUCAAUGUUCAGGUGCUCUUGGGAAGGACAUUUAGCUAUACUAAAUAAGAAAGUGAGACAAAACAAAAAUAAAACCAGAAGUGGAUGUCUCAGAGAUGUGAGACAUGUCUUGGAAAUGGGAAGGAUCAUAAGGAACUAGUAGGAGCAAUUAUUGGAUAUUAGAUAUAUAGCCAACAAAUUGGAUAACAUAAAAGAAAUGAUAAACUCUAGGAGCAUACAGGCUAAAAAUCAAGAAGAAAUAGAGAGCCUGAGCUUUCUAUUGGUUUCAAUAACAGACAAGAAAAUCAGAUCAGUAAUUCUUCCUAAACUCUCCAGCCAGGAUCCCAGAACUCCAUCGGGGUCUCUGCCAUGGGUGGCAGAGAUCUGACUCCUUGGGCCAUCACUGCUGCCUCCCAGAGUGCACACCAGUGAGGGAAUGGACAUAGUGUAACCAGCACUGAUAUUCCUAUGCAAAGAGUUGAUGCAAACCAAAGAGAAGUCACUGAUUGAUAACAGUCCUGAAAUCCAGCUAGGGAAGGUUCCAUGAUUGCGACUAAACUAUAUCCUCCCCAGAUGACUAUCCCCUCUGGGCUCUUUGUUCUGCCUCCUAAGUCAUUCUUUCAUUUUUAGGGAUGGAGAGGUAUAGUUUCCUCAGUCUGAUCCUUACCCAUAAUAUUUGGAGAGCCAAUGAAAUAUUCUCUUUUGUUACUGUCUCUACCACCUUGUGUCCAAGCUAGUGGUGCUUCUGCUGGUAUAAUUCUAUUAAAAAGCUUCUGAAGCUACUGUGAAUCUUAUUGGUGUGCCACUGAUUAGACAAAAGACAACCAAAAAUCUCAGGGAACCUCAUCUCUUUCCUGUGCUUCUAUCAAGGGGAGAAAAAAGUGUCCUUAAGCUUGUAUCUGUAGGGGAAUCUUUAAAGAUCAAAAUCACAGUGAUAGGGCUCCCUUGCUGGGAAAUGGCUGUCUUGCUCCUGCCCCAUCUUCCUGGCCCCUGAGCCUUCUGGGAGAAACCCCGAGGUUUGGGUGGGUUUGUGGUCAUUUAAAAACCCGGCUCUGAAGAAGCCAACCUGGUGCACAGCACUAAGAUGUCUUCCCUUCAUUUAUCAUGUAACUGAGACUGUUCGGUGAGAUCAUACAAUGGCCCUGCGUUUGGUUUUAAGCCACCGGCUCCUCGCAUCAAGUUUGCUCCUGUUGCUCUCUUAUUUUAAAAUGCGAAGAGCAGCCGGAAGGCACUGACCUACCCUUGAGUCUUUCAGUGCUUCAUUAGCUGUACCUUGGACAGCAACAUCACCUGCUUUCCCUCUUGAGAACACAGGACAACCAGAGACUGGUUUGCUACAUCAGGAAUGAGGAAGGGGAAUCUCACUGAUGGCUGAAACAUCAUAGGAAAAAUAAAUAAUUCCUGAAAAUCAAACAGGAUCCAAAUUUGUUUGGAAUCUGCUAGCUGCAAACAGCAGAACCAGCUGGCUUGGGCACAAAAAGAAGUGUUUUGUGAGAAGAGAUUGUAGGACCUUAGGACAUCAGACGCGUACCUGAUGGAUUAGGUCUCAGGAAGCCAGGGGUAAGAGCUUCCCCAGGUCCUGGACAGCAGGAAUCUAGAACCUUCUCUCUGAAGCCAUUGAAAUGACUCAGCCACCAUUUCUCCUUUUAUGCAUCUCUUCUGCUGAGGUUUGGAUUCUCAGGAAAAAAGCUGUUUCUGGUUUGUUUUCAGAAUGAUUCUCUAAUGACCAUAUAUGUGUUUCUCAAUGUUGCCUCGCUCACCGUGAAUGAUUAAUCCAAUGACAGAUAUUUUUCAUUUAGGGCAGGUCAGUUUAGCUCAAGUUUAUUUAGGCUCCACUAGGGACAGAUGGAACUUUUUUUUAUGUAACUUACCCUUUGCUCACUUCCUACCUGUUGGAAGAUUAAUAUAUUCUAGGGUAGACAUUAUAAUGCUACUUAGAUGAGGGAAGGGAGCAGACUUGAGUUUCAUUUAUCUGCACCUUCACGUAUUAGUACACUGAUGCCCCAACUCACCUUUUUCUAAAGAUUUAUUUAUUUAUUUGAAAGGCAGAGUUACAGAGAGAGAGAGAAAGAGAGACAGAGACAGCUCUUCCAUCCACUGAUUCACUCCCCCAAAUGGCCACAACAACUAGGCUGGGUCAGGCCAAAGCCAGGAGCAAGGAGUUUCUUCCGGGUCACCCACAUGGGUGCAGGGGCCCAAGGGCUUGGGUCAUCCUCCGCUACCUUUCCAGGCACAUCAGCAGGGAUCUGGAUUGGAAGUGAAACAGCCAGGAUUCGAACCAGCACCCAGAUAGGAUGCAGGUACUGCAGAACACGGCUUUAACCCACUGCACUUCUGCAGGACAGUGUCACCCACCACCCAACCCCCCACCCAUAUCACCUUUCACAUGUUCAUACAUGAAUGGAUGAGUGCUUUCAGCUACCCGACAAUUGUUAGACAAACACCAGACCAACAAUUCCACUUUGGUGGCACCACUUUAGACUAGACAAUGAAGUUUGUGUACUUAGAUUGUACAUUUUUCAUAGUCUACUCUUAUAUAUUUAAAUAACCAUUACCUUCUCUCUGUAUACUACAAUAUCAAACAAAACUGAUGGAGUAUGACUUGGGGAUGAACUGACCUAAAACAUUAGGCCAUUCAUAGACAUAAGAAUUUUUUAAAGAUUUAUUUAUUUAUUUGAAAGGCAGUCAGAGUUACAGAGAUGGGGGGAAGAAUCAAAGAGACUUUGUUUCACUCCCCAAGUGGCUGCAAGAGCCAGGACUAGGCCAGGUCAACGCCAGGAACCUGGAACUCCAUCGUGAUGUCCCACAUGUGUAGCAGGAGACCAAGCACUUGGCCAUCUUCCACUGCUCUCCCAGGAGUAUUUGCAGGGAGCUGGGCCAAAAGUGGAGCAAUUGGAACUCAAGCUAGCACCUAUAUGAAUGCCAACGUCUCAGGUGGCAGCUUAACCCACUGCACCACCACACUGGCCCCAGCCAUAAGAAUCCUCAGAAGUAUCUCCAAGGCAAAGGUAAUGCUCUGUAGAACUGCAGGAUCUGAAGCCCAAAAGGAAGCCACAGACAGGUGAAGCAAUGUGAUUUAAAUAUGUUAUGGUGCAGGGAAGGACUGGGAUCCUUGGGUACACCAUUACAGUUGAACAGUAGGAACGAGUUCUGAUGUUCCAUCCCAAGCAGGGUGACUGUUGUCAAUAGUAACAUAUCAUACAUUCCAAAAUGUCUGGAAGAGAGGAUUUUGAAUGCUUCAUCACAAAGAAAUGAUACAUGUUGGAAGCCAAAGUUAUGCUUACGAUUUGAUCAUUCCAUAAUGUAUGCAUGGAUCAAAGCAUCAUAUUGUACAUCAUAAAUAUAAGCAAUUAUUACAUUACAUGUCAAUUUAAAAUACAAGUAAAAAGGGCUAGUACUGUGGCACAGUGGGUUAAGUCAACACUUGUGAUGCCAGAAUCCCUUAUCAGAACACUGGUUCAAAUCCCAGGUGCUCUGCUUCUGAUACAGAUCCCUGCUAAUACACCUGGGAUGCAGUGGAUGAUAGCCCAAUUUCUUGGGCCCUUGCCACCCAUGUGGGAGACUCAGAUUGGAUUAGUUCCCGGCUUCAGUCUGGCCCAGUCCCAGCUGUUGCAGCCAUUUAAGGAAUGAACCAGUGGAUGGAAGAUCUCACCAUCUGUCUCUCUCUCCCUUUGUGUGUCUAUCACUCUGCCUUUCAAAUAAAUCAAGUAGUCUCUUUAAAUAAAUAAACAAAAGUUUUUAAAAAUGGGAAAAGUAUAGCAAAUCAAAGGGCUCAAAAACACUAGUUCUGAAUGACAGGUGCUGGAAUUGGGAAUCCCGCUGCUUUUCACAGGGCAACUCUUUGGAACUUGUCCGGAUUGAGGAGCAAACUUAUUCAGGAUGGCUGAUGAGUUUCCUGAGCAGCAUUCAGAAAGCCAGCAGAGAAUUCUACAGAAGUGAGUAAAAAGCGUAAAAUUAAAAGUACUGAUGGAGGGCUGGCGCUGUGGCGUAGCAGGUAAAGCCACCCCUUGCGAUGCUGGCAUCCCAUAUGGGCGCCAGUUCAAGUCCCAGCUGCUUCACUUCCGAUCCAGCUCUCUGCUAUGGCCUAGGAAAACAGUAGAAGAUGGCCCAAGUGCUUGGGCCCCUGCACCUGUGUGGGAAACCUAGAAGAAGCUCCUGGCUACUGGUUUUGGAUCUGCCCAACUUGAGUCGCUGUGGCCAUUUGGGGAGUGAACCGGUGGAUGGAGGAUCUUCUCUGUCUCUCCCUCUCUCUGUAACUCUGCCUUUCAAAUAAAUCUUAAAAAAAAAAAAAAAAAAA